UACAGAGGUCCCAAGCGUUGUUCGGAUUCACUGGGCGUAAAGGGUGCGUAGGCGGUUGGGUAAGUCUGAUGUGAAAUCUCACAGCUUAACUGUGAAACUGCAUUGGAUACUAUCCGGCUAGAGGAAUGGAGGGGAGACUGGAAUACUGGUGUAGCAGUGAAAUGCGUAGAUAUCAAGUGGAACACCAGUGGCGAAGGCGAGUCUCUGGACAUUUCCUGACGCUGAGGCACGAAAGCCAGGGGAGCAAACGGG
Molecule: ribosomal RNA, 252 nt
Filed under: uncultured bacterium
Lineage: Bacteria
Description: partial 16S ribosomal RNA
Rfam family: Bacterial small subunit ribosomal RNA
Source: RNAcentral